AAUCAUUCAUAUAUAUCCAAACCACCAAAAAAAUCAUCAUUCCAUACCCAAAAUCAUCAUAACAAUGUAUAAUUAACUAACUUUACAAAAGACGGAACACAAAAAUACAUACAUGCCAAAAAUAGAGAAACAACAUGUUGAGCAUAACCCUUUACUUUACAGCUUACACCAAGUAUAUUCUUUACAGCUUACACCAAGCAUCCUUCAAUAUAUAC
RNAcentral lists this long non-coding RNA (215 nucleotides) under Panax ginseng (ginseng). RNAcentral's name for it is "long non-coding RNA (PGIN_LNC012093)". The record is from RNAcentral. Lineage: Eukaryota; Viridiplantae; Streptophyta; Magnoliopsida; Apiales; Araliaceae.